This is a non-coding RNA of Adlercreutzia equolifaciens DSM 19450, 126 nucleotides long. Lineage: Bacteria; Bacillati; Actinomycetota; Coriobacteriia; Eggerthellales; Eggerthellaceae. The record is from Rfam.
ACCAUAUACCUGGGGAGCUUGCAGCCGCGCGGCGGCCGGGCAGGCUGAGAGGGGGCGCCGUGCACGCCCCGACCCGCCGAACCUGAUAUGGGUAAUGCCAACGAAGGGAGUUUCCAUGACUGACCG